Molecule: transfer RNA, 69 nt
Filed under: Marmota monax (woodchuck)
Lineage: Eukaryota; Metazoa; Chordata; Mammalia; Rodentia; Sciuridae
Description: tRNA.Ala
Source: RNAcentral
GGAAUGUAGCUCAGCUGGUAGAGUGCCUGCCUUGCAUGCCCAGGGCCCUGGGUUCAAUCCCCAGUACCA